GAACCUUUGGUCCUCCCAAAAUAUAAAAUUUGAAAUAAAAGGGUGUAAAGCGAACAAAUGUAGAUUUCAAUCAUACCUUUUGACAGUUCCCCAUUAAGAACAUUCAAAGAAUCAACUACUUGAUGAGCGGCACCUGAAACAAAGCAAGACAAGCAGGAGGAAAACUACCAUUAGUUUCACUUUUGUCUAUACAAAAUUUAAAAUAAUUUGUAGGAAAGGGAAAAAGGCGAGAGAUGCAGAAUGCUUAUGGCUAAUCAAUAUAAUUUUUUUUAUUGGUCAUAGUUAUUAAACAGUAACAUCAAAUGCUUCUAUCUCCUAAGAUUCUAGCCUGUGCGGGAGCAUAGGUCGCUGGAGUAGAGUAUAAAAUCUAAAUGAAUCGAACUCACAGCAUGCUAAACUUAAGUUUCAGUAAUAUUUCUGAAAAUGGUUUUGCAUUGACCAUUCAGAAUGUACUUUCAUAACUAAAUAUCACUUCUAAUAUUUCAAAACAGAUGAUACAUGGCUUGCUGUAUCAUCUCCAAAUCAACUCAUCUGAAUACUUCCAUUCUAAAUAUAGCUAAUGAACAACUGCAAACUUGUAGGAACGGAAUUCCAUUUAGUAAUAGGUAGUCAGCUUUUGCAAGGGCAAAUAUAUGCAUAUCUCAAUUGCAACAGAAAUUAUGGUGUUACUUAACAACAAAAUGACGCAUCGACAAAAUAAUUAGCUCCAUUUUGUAUAAAUUAACUGUGCUUACUUUUUCACAGUGCAAUUUUUUUUGAAGGAUAAGCAGGGGAGGCCCCUACUUAAAUUUUUUGAUUAUAUGACAAACGGUACAAGUUACAGGGCUUCAAAAGCGCGAUUUGGAUCGAGCAUGUAACAGCUUAGGUAUUUGGGACCAUUAGGAAUGUGAAACAGAUGCAAAGGAAGGAAAAGGUGCUUUAAGAAACCAAAAUUUCAAGUGUUAGCACCUCUAUUCUCUUGAGAAGAGUUGCUUGCUGCAGCUUGGAGUUCAGUUUCCUUUUCUCCGCAUUCUGUAUCAGGAACAAUUUCUGGAACCUCUUCAAGACGACGCUUUCUUUCAGCUGGUGUGUUUAAAAGUUUUUUUUGGCCCAGUAGUUCCACCAAUGUAGAAAAGAAUGGGUCAAGGAAGAAAUCCUGUGGGAAGUUUCUUCAAUGGUCCUAAGAAUAUGUACUACUACUAACAGUGAAAUAUGAAAGCAAGAUGACAUUAACAAAAUGAAACACUAUACUAAUACUAAUACAUGAUGAUCACAGUCAGUCUAGAAAGGAUAUUCUACUUGUAACCCUUUCAUCUGCGCAAUAUUGAUCUUUCUUUCUAGUCUCACAAGUUCUCUUUCAAUCCACUGGAAAAUGCCAAUGUCAUCGAUAAUAUUAGAUGCACACAUAACACAUGGAAAGAAAAGAUAUAUCAGUACAAUAGUAGGACCAAUGAAGAGCUGAAUCUACCAUGAGAAUUUAAAAUUUUGCCUUCAGACAUCAAAUGUUGUCUAAUAGAUGCAAAAGAUUAGAGUAUGUGAUGCAGGUAAUACUGCCAUUCAGACCUACAGGACUUCCAAAAAAUAGCUGUAUCAAUUAGAGUAUGGUGGACAAAUAAUUCAAGUUUCUAAGCAAAAGAGGAGAACAGCAAUUGUGUACAAGUUUCAAAGCAAAAAAAAUGCUGAUAUUGAUACUAUGUCAUGAAAAUCACUAUGUCCUUGGUACGAGUUACAAAGUACUCCUUUUCAGUUGAUUCAGACAACCAGUUACUUGUAAAACUUCUAAUUUGUAUCUAUCUGCAUACAUUUCCCAUCCAACAUACAAAAGCAUGAAGUAGCAAACCAAUGGCAUUCACUGAACUGCCAGGUGCACUUACAUGAUUAACUAUGUCUGUAUACACAGUUGAAACCUUUUCCUCCAAGUCAGCCUGCCAAAAAGAGCGAACUCAGAAAACUAACAAAGGAGCUUAGCAUAUGCAUAUUAUAAACUCAAGUAGAACAGGAGACACUCUAUCUUUAAGUAUUUACAGCUGACACAUAUUAAUAGGUGCAACCUUAGGUAAACAGGCUGUCUUAAAAAAAAUCGGGCUGCAGGGGACGUAGCCCAUGUGAGAACGAGUGGAUUUUGUUAAACCCAGCCGGAAAAUUCACUCCCACGAGGAGACGAACUCAGGAUCCAAGGAGUACUACUCAAGCCACCUAACCAAUUCAGCUAGAGGCCCUUUCGCAAACAGGCUGGCUUUUAUGUCUGCAAGACAUUUUUUUCCCUUGUUCGUAGUGUCACCAUGAGAAAUGAUGGUAAUUGGUAAAUAUCAAAGAGUUUGAAGUUUAUAUUGCCAAUAUGAUAUCCUUGCUGUAUUAAAAAUGGUAUUUGCAGAUUUGCUUACAAGACUGCCAGUGUCCAAUGAUUUUCUUUAAUAGCUGAAGGGAGUAGUGGAAAACCAGAAACGGAAAUUUUUUUCGAGAACAUGCAAUGGCACGUGUUUCAUUAAGCAGAGAGUUCAGAGUUGACAAGAGGUAAUCCCCAGAUUACCAGACACACACUCACACAAGCAAAGGGACAGCGAAGGAGAGAAAAACAAAGAGGAGAAAAAGACCAAAGCACUACAAAAGCACCACACAGAUCAACCAGAGCGCCGACCGUCGAGAACCCCUAGCGGUCUGUACCCUGCCGCGAACCAGAGAGCAGCCUCCUCCAAGAUGAGUUGGGCAAGUUGCAGCGGUUGCCGGCUGGUUGAAUCGAAUGUCUGUCUGUUCCUCUCCUUCCACAAAUUCCAGCCAACCAGAAAGAAUAAGGAGUCAAAACCGCGCCUCAGCUCCUUUGGAAGAAGCUUGCGCGACGCUGUACACCAAACCAUAAUCCGUUCCUCCUGCGCCGGGACUAGCCUAAGCAGGCGGAACGCCCUGAGACAGACAGUCCAAACCUCCCUGCUGAAGACACAUCCCAGGAUAAUGUGAUCUAGAGUUUCGGUUGAUCCUCAACUAUCAACAAGUACAGAGUAUGAACCGUCCAUGACAUGACCUGGCACAAAUAAAGUAACACCUACGCCAUACCCAAAACAUUUCCCAUCAUUCUAACUAGCUAGCGUAUAACAUAUAGAAAAUAUUACUGUGGUCCUUUAUCUCUAUGGACUAGUAAAUUUCAUUUCUAUUAACAAAACAAUCUGGUUUGUACACCCUCAUAACUCCUCAGUAUUUGCUAGUGUUCUAAACAUCCAAUAGGAAGAGCAACCAAGGAAAAUUGCCUAGAUCAUUUUUCACCAUGAAUCCACUAAUUGCUGCUGCUUCCGUUAUUGCUGCUGGAUUGGCCGUAUUAACGAAUUGGCAGGAGCUCUGCAUUUCAAUUAAGCAGAAUAGAGUUUAUGUAAAGACUGCGGCUUAACAACCGACCACAGAUAUUUCCCCUCACAAACCACACUCCCGGGAAACAUCCCAAAAAUAAAGGUGUCCCUGGAGUGACGGACAAGGCCAGUCUACCCCUGCAAAUCAAGCGCCCUUCUGUAUUGUACUAAGCGUUCUUUAGAGCAUAAGAAGCAUAGAUCCCCUACUGAAUUUGUAUAGGAAUUAUCUUACUUUAGCACUGGAGUAUGCUAGAGGAAUCUGUGAUUUAUUUGACAUGACAUGAGAUACAUCCACAGAUUUGCGUUAGUAAUUGGCAAUGUGAAUAUGUUAGAAUGAGAGCCAUAAUAUUGAUUCACAAUAAAUGUACACAUACAUCCAACGCAUGCAAAUACAAAAUAUUCUCAUCACUAGAGCAAUGGACGUCAAAGGUGAAAGAAAGAAAUCAUUUAUUCAACAGCAUGAUAAGUCUACUCCAUCCAGUGCCACAUAUUCAAAUCAUCAAAUGGUUAUGCACUGCCACUACAUUAAAAAGAAGAAAAAUUCAGAAUAUGAUCUUACAACAGUAGCCCGUUUCAGUAGUCCUUUCUCGGCCAAAAAAAUAAGAUCACCACACUCAUCCUGUUACCAAGGGAAAACGCAUAAUUAUUCCAACACAUCUUUUAUUCAGGCAAAAAAGGCUAAAUAUUGAAUAAGUGAGCCAAUGUUGCACAAACUACUUAGUAAUGACAAGCUACUUUAGAACAAAUGUAGCACUAAAUUUAAUUUCCUAUCAGCAACAACUAACUUAAUAGCAUUAAAAUGCUACUAGAUUAAAAAAAAAAGAUAGUACCUCUGCUAAGUCCUCAUCUGAGAGUAUUGAUAUACUGAUAUCAUCCAACAAACCAGUAACACAUAAGAGAAUAUUUGUACAUGUAUCAUUUAUCUUGUAUUCAUUUUCAGACUUCUUGAUGCCUGUUACAGGUUUAUCCAACAGCACGUGAGAAAGUAGUUUCCUUUCUUGACAAAUGAACUAGACCAUCAAACCUAAUAAAGAAUGAUUGCAAAUGAUCUAUACCUGUUACUUGUCCAAGAAGGUAUGCUUUUCUAGGUAUUUCAUAGCUGUGCACAUUUUUUCCGCACUUGACUCUAACAAAACAGCCAACAACUUUCUGUUCAAAUGUGUCUGGCUGACUCGUCAAAAGACUAAUAACUAAAGUUUUUCUCAGGUAGAUUAGGUUGAUAUUAUUCUGAGUAAGGGCGGCAAAAUGUCUCUUGCUUCCUUCUGAGACCCUCUUAGCAAUCUUUGGCUCCAGACUAUUCCGAGGUCUCUUUUUAAUAACUGGGGUGUCAUCAUCAUCUUCAGAACUACAAAAACUUUCAUCCUCUGAAACAGCAUUUGAAGCUAGAUGAACUGCCAAGAACUUACGGAUCAUUUUGCAUCUCACUUUUCUUCUCGUAAACAGGGGUUGCAGCUUAUCAUCACACAAGAAACGAAGUUUCUUAUUGUCCUGGUAUAGUUUCUUCUCUUUGAUGUACCCUUUGACAACUCCAAUAAUUUCAAGUUCAUCAAGAGGUUUUGACGUAUCCUUUCCAAAACUUGACAAGAACCCAAUUAGCUCUUUGGAACCCCACCCAACAUAGGUUCUCUUAUUUGACUUGUUCUUCUGUGAUGUGUUCGCUUUAAUCUGUUUUCCCUUAGAGUCAAAAGGAAUUGUACCAUUGGCGCCAUUAUCAGGAGAUGUAUUUUCAUCUGACUUGUGAUCAACAGCUGGAAAUCUCUCUAAAUUCACUCCUUUACAGUUAAGCUUUCUAUUCAGAAUAUAACUAGCUUCUUCCAGGUCAACCAAUGUCAAAUGUUCUGCAUCUUUAAUUCCUUCCCAGUAGUCUUUAAACAAAAUUUCGUAAUUAUAUGUUUUUGCCUGGAGAUGCACAUGAACACUUGUCAGAAAAGAUAGAAGAAGAAAAAAACAUGUUGCAGAGGUCAAAUUGUAUUUUUUUUUUAUAUAGUAUAAACAACUUUGGAAUUCUUUCCACAAAGAAAUCCAACAAAGUUAUGGAGGGGAAGAACUAAAGGUGAACUUUAUAGCAAGCAACAAACUCUUUUCGAGAACUGACUAGUAAAGACCCAAUAUUGUACUUGAGGAAUCUGGGUUGUUUUAUCCACUUAGACUGUGGCAUUCUUGUUCUAGGAGUGUUGUGGGUGUGUGAUCAGUGGCAGAGCAUGAGCUAAAAUCAAGAGGGGGCCAAUGCCAUAUGCUCAUGCUACACCUAGCUAGCUGUUACUAUCUUCCAGGUUGUGCUUUAUCCAUGAGCAAGAGAAGCCAGCAAGUAAGAUGAAAAAUGAGAUGACGUGCUUGUGCAUGUAAAGCUCGUUUGAUGGCAUUGUGUAUGAGCUCCUACAUCAUUCAGUACAACGGCCGUUGAUGCUUUAAGAAUAGAGAAAUGCUUGAAAGCCAUAAUGAGCAGCAAAUGCAGGAGAGCAGAGCGUGUCAGGCACAUGUGAGUCUGGCUGUGUGGAUAAUACAUGGAUUUUUUUUCUUUAGUGAAAUGGCAUGCAGCCUCUAGUGCAUUUGAGAACAGUAUAAUGAUUCAGAAAAAUAGUUGGGUACAUGCAUGCAGUUACCACAUGAGGAUCAUUCUUCUCAAUCGCGAUAGCCAGGUUCAAGCAGGUGCUGCAGAAUCCCUUAUUUUGCUUUCUCAGUUGCACAAAUUCUUGUUUUCCAAGGCAGGCAUAGCAAACAGAGUAAAGUGGACAGCACAGGCACUGAUAAUCAGAACAUCCUCUGCACUGGACACAUAUGUGCCAAUCUGUACAAAGUCAAAAUUAGGCUCACGAAUGAAUUACAAUAGAUUUCAAGAGUACAGAAGCUAAAACAGAUAUUUCAUAAAAGAGGUUAAAACAGACAUUCCACAUUUCAUGAUCAUAUAUGUCAGGUGCAAAAUGCUCAUUAUGUGCAACUAUUUAACUCCUGGUUAGCUUGAUGUGUUGUCAGACAAAAGAAGUUGGAUAGUUACUGUUUACAAGUUUUUAUUGGAGGCACUGAAAUGCUAGUUGUAUUUCUGUUCCAUGUUGCAUAAUGCUGGAACAGGUACCUCCGUAAAAUAGCAAACAGUUGAAAGCACAGAAAAGAACAAGGAUAAUUUCAUAAGGCGGUUCCUUUCAAAAAAAAUUCAUAAGGCGGUUUGUACUUCAGGAUAGGUGGCCGUAACCAAGAAACGAACAAGUGAACAUGAGUGACAACCAAUUUUUGGACAAGCUUCCAGUCAAACUUUCUAAAGCAAUGGUUAUCAAUAUAUUCCAAAAUAUGCAUACUAGGAACACAAAAAGCAUAUGUAUGGUGUUUUUCUUUUGGAAAAAACUUCCACAGUACAAAUUUUAUGGAUUCUACAAAUUUACCGCAAUAUAAAAUACUCGUGAAAAGUACAUCUUCUUAAGACUGAUGUUAUCCAAGUACAAGUAUUUGUGACUGAAGGGUGCACGAUUUUAAUUGCAACAGAUCAUACCAGCCCUCAAGCAUCAACAUCUGCAGAGCUAUUGAAGGACAUUGUCUUUUCAUAGCAGUCAUUGACCAGAAACACUUUUCCCUGUAUCGGACCAUUACAGAUUCAUAAAACCAGGCACACAUUUAGGAUGCAUGGUCAUGUUCAACGAAUGGGUAGGUCAUCAUGAUCGUGCAGCACAUGUGUGAUGUAAAACGCCAAUCAAAACUAUUGUUUGACAUUAACAUAUCAUCCACACAUUCAGGACAGGAAUGGUAAAAUGGACAGCGUACAAGUUCUCACCGCAUAUGAACCCCUCAUCUUUGUUUUGGACACAGCCUGGAUGGUAAGCCUUGAGGCAGUUCCUGGAAAGGACCAGGACGCAAAAUUAGCUAGCAAAGCAAAGCUGUUGGCAACGAUUGGACUGAAAAAUAAAAUGAACCAGGCGACGUUUUUCCCCAAGCCAGCAGAGACAUAAGCAGGUGGAUUCAGGGGACUGGGUGGUUUCACCACGCAGAAUCGCUGCACCAACAUCUACCCAGCUGCAUUCCGCAAGCCAUCCAAAUAUGAAAUACGCCGGAACAAGACAGCAGAACGAAAUCACGCAACCGAUUAAAGAGCAAUCGCGAUGAAUUCUAGUCUUCUUCUUUUUUUCGCACCAAAAGAGCCAACCGAUCGACACAGAAAACCCCCAAAAAAACCCCGCAUGUUCAUCAUCAAUACAGCUAAUCGGGGCGGCGGAAUCAGACGUAUACCUUACCUAGAGUCACAUACGCGGAGGUCGUGCCCGCUGUCCUUGCAAACGAAGCAGCAUUCCUCGGCCAUCUUGUCCUUUUCCUGCCCCUGCCUCUUCAUGCUCAUCAUUUCCUCCCCUGGACGCGCAAACGGAGCGGCCUGGACUUAAACCCCCUCAAAACCCUCCGCAAAACCCCGGGGUCACCCUCGCCUCCGCGAUCCUCGCCCGGAUGACGGCGGUCGGCGCAAAUGGCGGCGGCGGAGGGCGGGCCGUCUGGGUGAGUGAGGGUUUAGUGGGUCCGAAUUCUAGAGAGCGGAGGAGCGAGCGAUUAUGUGGCCAUGUGUGGGUGCGAGUGAAACCAGCCGGUGCCGUGGGGGGAAGAAAUGGAAUGGAAAGGCUCGAGUCGCGCAGGCCGCCGGAGCGCAGAGCACGCCGUCGGGCGGUUGGGGGUCUACCGGCGCGUGCCGCGCGUGACGCGUGGUUCUGGCCGCUUUGUCCUUGUUGGUUGGCUCGCUUCUUUUCUUCCUCUGCCGGUCCGUCUCGUGGAAGGGAAGUUGCUGGAGGCCUUUACAUAUAAUGUCAUUAUAAAAAUUAUAAACAUUAGUAGUUAUUUAUUUAUAAGUUAUUUUUUUGAUAAUAUUUAUUUAUAAGUUAUUAAAAAGUUGAGUUUGUCGCACUUACAUCAGAUUUGACUCUAACGGUAUUAAAGUGCAGAUAUAAAAACAUCUAAAUAUCUAAUUGUUUCUUUGAGCAUCUUAACGAUCUCAAAUAAAAGAGCUCAAAACUAGAAAGUUGUAGAUCUCGUCGAGAUCUACAAUAUUUAUAUAAAAAUAUUUUUGUUUUAUUUUGUAUAAAAAAUAUGCUUUUUCUAAGAUAUAAUAAUCAUAUCAAAUCAUAUCUUUUUGUAAGAAAUUCAACAAAAAUAAUUUUUAUACAAAAAUUAUAGAUAUUAUGGAGAUCUGCAACUUUUUAGUUCUGAGUUUUUUAUUUAAGGUCAUUAAGAUGCUCAAAAAAAAUUAUUACAUAUUUAGGCUUGAGAAUAUUUUUGACUUUUCACACUCGCGGUUCAACAUUAUUAGCGCUAAAUCUGACAAAAAUGGCAUAAAAAGCAAAACAAAUUUAGAGCAAUGGUAUCCACGAGAACUUAACUUUUUUUAAUAAUUUAUUGAAUAGUUAUCAACUUUUAUAAUGUCACGUAAGUAAAAGUCUCGACGUACAGAAUGGUUCAUUGGGAUUUGGGAGCCCAACCCAGUUACCCAGCACCCGCACAAUUCUGCUUUUGGGCUUAGCCUGUGUGAUGCAUCAGUAAGACUUGGGCCAAGAAAUAGUACAGGUCAGGCUUAUAUCGUAUUCUUAAUUUACUAGUUAAGUGCACGUGCGUUGCUACGGGUAUAUAUAGAAUCUCAUGAUAGAUAACCUCACGUGUAGAACAUAUAUAAAAUCUCAUCCAUUCAUUAAUAUUUUUUUACAUAAAGCUAAAUAUUAACCAUAGAAGAAAAAAGGCAUGGUAGAAAUAAUAAUCAUCAUGUUACAAAUUAAACAUAAAGUCAUAUAGUUAUUAAAAAUAUAUUAUAAUAUAAUGAGUACAUCCAAUCAAUAAGAUAUACACAAGAUCAUCAUAUGCUACGUGUCUCCUAUUGUUCCCAGACUUCUUCUAUUAUCUAAAAUGCAAAUGGAUACAAUCAUACAACAAAUGUUAGUAACAAAGGACACAAAUGUAAGAAAAUAUAACAUUUAUACAAAAUAGAAGAUAAUACCUUUUCAUAGAGUGAGGACCUCUUUGUAGACAAUAUUUUUUGUGUAUGUACCAUUUAUUUUUGUAUUAUUUUUCUUAUCAUUCGUAUCACUGGGCAGGACAGCAAGGAUCCUGAUAUUCAAUCUGGCAGUGGCUCUAGAUAGCGCAACAUACAGCUGGCCAUGAGAGAACACUGGUUCAGGCAAAUACACACCAACAUUGGGAAGAGUCUGCCCCUGUGCUUUGUUAAUCGUCAUGGCAAAACUGAGUCUAAUAGGAAACUGCUUCCUCUUGAACUGGAAUGGAAACAUCUCAUCAUCCGAGGGACAUAACGGAAUCCGUGGUAGGAAGAUUCGCUUUCCGGCAUGGUCUCCAACCAUAAUUUCUGCAUCGAUAAUAUUUCUUUGGAACCCUUGAACCACCAGUCUGGUUCCAUUGCAAAGUCCACCUGCAGGGUCGAUGUUCCUUAGCAAUAUGAUCGGACACCCAAUCUUAAGCUUUAACACAUGUGGAGGAAGACCAUUGGGGGUCAAAGUGUUGAGGAACUCAGAUGGGUAGUGGUUGUGUGGAUCAUCCACGGCACUAUCAAAGCUAUGGUACACCAUCUCAUCCCCUUGGAAACGACUUAUCAUCUUCAUGUUAAUCAUAUCAACAGAGUCGUUCCGCGCAGAUAAUAUUGCUCGUGAGGUGAUGUAGCUCUUGUCUGACAUAUUGGCAUUGAGGGCAGGAAAUAUGCAGUCAAUUAACAUAUCAAGAUCACCGUCUUUUCCAUUCUGUGGUAUGCAUAUAUCAUCAGGAAGGUGGAUUUCACCAUUACAAUUAGCCUCCUCAGAGCCUCCCCCAAUACGUAGCAAGUAUUCUGCAAACCAUGGAUCGUUCUUUGCCCUCAUGUUGCGCACCAAUUUGAGAUGUCGCAUGGAAUUCCAAAGGUACGACAUCCGCAGUGAGGCACCAACUAUUUGUGCCCAAGACCCUCUUGAACAACUGGGAGAAACUGCCUAAAAUCUCCACCAAACACCAUAGUCUUCCCCCCAAACGGGAGGUUAGGACGGUCCAUGAUAUCACGGAGGCUGUUGUCUAGCGCCUCAACACCUUGUCUCUUCAUCAUUGUCACCUCGUCCCAAAUAAUAAGGGAUGCGGUCUGAAGCAGCUUGGCAGUACCACUCUGUUUUGUGAAGGUACAAAAGGCUCCAUUAUCGAGGGUGAGGGGAAUCUUGAAGCGUGAGUGGGCGGUUCUACCACCAGGCAUUAUUGACGCAGCAACACCAGAUGUUGCUGUUGCCACAGCAAUCUUGUUCUGACUACGUAUAGUAGCGAGUAGGGCCCUAUAUAGAUAAGUCUUUCCUGUGCCGCCAGGUCCAUCCACAAAGAACAAACCCCCGUGAUCGGUAUCAAUAGCAGACAUAAUCUCAUUGUAGGCAGCCCGCUGCUCCUCGUUAAGGGUCUUUGAUAGUGCCAUGUCAUCAAUGCUUGCCUCAACGCUAGCCUCCUCAAAAAUCUCCCUGGGAAUAUCACCGGAUGGAUCAUAUGUGUCAUCGAUAUCAGGAAGUGGGUACAUCUUUAUGUCCUUCUGCAUUGAUUCUAACAACUUUCGAAUAUCUAUGAGGACCAUCUGCUCCACCGCAAAGGUUGAUUGGUUAUUGCGCCUGUAGUCCUCUGACAUUGCCUCCUUAUGCUUUUCCCAGAGUUUUAAUACAUCACUCGGCUCACAAAAAACCAAGAUUGUUGCAAAGAGCCUUCGCAGUGCAUAUGGCAUCAUCCAUAGAGUAGCUUCAGCAAGGCCCUCGUGCAGCGUGUUGUCCGCUUCAAUGAAGCCCCUUCUUUCUGCAGCUUCACGGAAAGUCGGUAGGAGUUCGCCAGACACCGUCCUUAGAUCAGUGAACGAGGUAGCACCAACCACAUGAUUUAGAAGCACCCUAAGAUAGUAACGCUCCCCUUCAGCCGGAUUGGCACAUACAACUCUUCCAAUCUGUCUUAAAUGAUUCUUUUGCGCCCUCCUAAUCCAUUGUUUACCUUGUGAGUCCCACUUAUAGUACUCAGGAAAGUCCCGAUACAAUAUACCACGGGCAUGUUCAGAUGUGUUGUUCUUCUCGAAGAAGGCUGUAAGCAUCGACCUUUCAACACCUGGACGAUUAAGCACUCGUCGAACACCUUCACGUCGAUGAAAUGAUACCAUGUGCAUGUCAGGAAGAUGGAGCUGCAAGGACAACACCGAAGGGGACCUAUCAUUUAUAUCAAAACCAUAUAUCCUCCAUAAGGCUUCUGGUGGAGUUACCCAUCUAGCAUCCCUGUACUGUUUGAUCUCAUCGAUGUUUCCUUCAUUGUCCUCCUUGUUAGCCUCUCUCACAGCUACAGACGUGCGGUCAUGACCCUUGUAAAUGUACUUAAACAAAUACUUGACGGCCUUGAUGCUCCCACAUGCUUCAACAUUGAUGUGGCAAUUGAACAAACGUAGGAGGUAUGGGUUGUAAGGCACGACCCAUCUAUUGUCAAGCUCAUGCCCACGAACUUUUUCUUUUCUACCAUCAUCACGUCGUCUAUAAACUGGGUAUGAAUCAUUGCCUUGUAAUGUGGCAUCACAGAAAGGUCGUGGGUAAUGGUUCUUGCAUGAUUCACGGCCCUUUGUGCAUGGGCAGUUGCGAUUAAGUACUCCACAAGGGCCAUGCAUCAUAUGCUUUGUAACCAUUUUAUACAAGUCUGGAUACUUCUUGUUUGGGAGCUCGGCAGAGAUGAGUAGGUCAUACUGCUCUGGGCACGUGAUCUUGUAGCGUCUGUCCAUGAUUAGCAAAAAAUGUGCAUGCGGUAGACCCCUCUUCUGGAACUCCACAACAUACACGUGUGCACGGACCUUUCCAAGGAUAUCCUUUUUUAACAACACGUGCUUAAGCUCUUCCAGUUUUGCCCUAAAGACCCGAUCAAUAAGGUCUGGACGAUCCUGUGGUGUUUGUCCAGGGUACAACUCACGCGUGAUCUCAUCCCACUUUGGAUUACAUGUCAUAGUCAGGAAGAUGUCUGGUUUCCCAAACCUUCGCACCAGUGCCAUGGCAUCCAUGUACCUACGCCUCAUGUCCCUCGGGCCUCCGAUAAACGACGAAGGCAUCACGGUCCGCUUUCCAACAGCUUCUGAUCUACCCUCACCAGCAUGCAGGCUAUCAACCAAUCCUUGGUAGAGGUCGGCCCUAAUCUCAGUUUGAUGAUUGCAUAUGUAAUCCAAUCGAGAACUCUCGAUUUUGAUGUAUGUGUCCACUGCAAAUUGUUGGAAAAGACGCUUGCCAUGAAGUAUGGGAUUAAAGAUUCCUGGUCGUAUCUGGAACUUGUAGCAGUAGUAGUCACGCACAGAAACACAUAAAUUUCCCGGAGAGUCUACAAAAACUAUGGUAUUAGAGGUGUUCUUGUGAUAAUGGUUUGAUAUACAUGAAAAGUAUAAGAAGAUAAACAAACCUGUUUCUUCUUCUUCAAUACCACUACGAGCCUUACGCAGGGCACGAGCCACGUUGACAUCCUCCAUAGUAACACCUUUCUUUGGGAUAUCCAUAUGCCAUCCAAGCUCACCUCUAGGGAAGAAGAGUGGGUAUGAAAGAGCAUCAUAGCAUCCAUGGUAUGAUCGGAUGCCAUGCCUGCUCCUAUCUUUCCCAUGUAGGACUACACUAUUCUCAAAUUGACCAAGGAGUUCACUACCCUCGAUCCAAACAACAGCCACCUCCGAAGCCAGCGGUAUGUUGUAUGUCCUUUGGUCCAAUCGCUGAUCAAGGUUAAGUGUAAGAUGAUAGUCCUCGAGGUGUUCAGCUUGCCCUAGACUCCUCAAAUGUUGUGAGUACGGGUUGUCACGAAGGAUGGCCACCAGUCUGUCUAUAACUUCUUUAUCUUUUUUAUACUGUUCUUCAUGACACCUUCGAUACCGGUGCUCAAGGCUCGGAUCAUCAUCAUAGAAGUAAAGCUCAAGAUGUCUGGGCUCCUUACCAUCUUCUAUACCAAAUGACCUUAUGUUGUGAUAGAUCAUGCCAUGUGCACGAAAGGUAUAUAUGCCACUAUUUCUAAUGUUAGCAGUAGCACUAUCGAGGCGACAAUACAAGGAAGUGAAAGAGAAGUGGCCAUUGAAAAACCUGAUAUUGCUACGAAAGUGCCUAGCAUCCGCAUCAGAGCUCGUCCAAAGCCUCAUGAGCUGGUUUGGUACGACGGGUGCAUUCAACUCAACCUUUCCGUUGCGGCAACAAAACCCAGGAGGUUCUUUUGGAAACCUCUUCGCUCCACAAUGGUGGCAAUCUGGGACAGGUUUUAGCAUAUGUGUCUCUUGGGGCAUGUUACUAUACACCAUCUCAUACGGGUCAGGUCCUUCAGGGUUAGAAGUUGUGUCUUCCUCAGUAGUAUCACUUUGGACAUCAUCAUCUGAUUCAUCUAUUGAAAUGAUUUGAACAUAAAAAUGAAGGUCAGAUAAAGGAGUGGAUGUUUAGAAAGGUAAUAGGUAUUUGUUUACAAAUACUAUUUACAAAUACCUUGACCAGCAAACAAGUAUCCCUCAUCCUCUUCCUCAUCCUCUUCAAAUAUAUCGCCCUCAUCAUCAUCUGUGAUCACCACAGUGCCAUGAUAUAUUACAACUUAGGUAACAUUAAAGGAAAGUAAAUAAAGAAUGCAAAAAGUAGUGCAAAAUACCAGUGUCAUCAAAUAAAAGUUGUGUGGGUGUAGCUGAUGCAUUUUGAUUGCUUGAUCCAACGUUUUCUGUCAAUCACAUAUUUGACAUGGUUGAGAUAGGAAUAAAGUUGUUCCAUGUCAAGGAACGGGGGUAGGGAGGUCUUGUUACUUACUGUUGUUGGUCACGGUUGACUGAGUUAAGGGCGUUUCUUCAUCCGCAUGGUCUAUCUUCAUGCAUUCAUCAUCAUUGUUAGCUACUCCCAUGUUUUGACCGAUGCGACGCUCAAACAUAGUGUUACGAUGGGCUAAUAAUGCAUUUCUUUGCCCAAAUGUAACAUUUUGUCUAUGUGUCAUAUGACCAAGUAGUACAUCACCGCAUCCAUCAUCAUCAUCAACAACAACAUUUGUCUCCUCAGUAGGUUGUGGGAAGCAAAUAGGUGUUGCAGUAGAUUCUGGGAUAAUCCAAUCGCUGGGGCUUACUAUGGGUCCAUGAGGCCUAGAUGAGUUUGCACCGGGCCACACCAUCUUCGGAUUAAAGAGUGGAUUUUCCAUUGCAAUGGACUCAUUGUUUAAGGUGUGUCUCUGCACCUCCCUGGAGCGGUUUGUAGUCACUUUCAUUGCCUCUUUUCGAGAUGGAGUUUUAUUGUAAAGCCUCUGUUGCUUGCGCCUUUGUUCCCGUUGCUCAGGUGUCUUGUUUGCAUAUGUAUUCCUAAACCUUGUAGUCAUGUCUGCAUAUGUCGUCCUGAAUCUUUCACGACCAGCCAUGACUUGCUCAUUUGUUAACUCUCUCUUAUGUGAAGCAUCGUAAUCGGUUAUGCCUAUUGUUGAAACAUGGGUGCAUUGUGACUGUAUUUCUUGAUUAACUAUGUUGCGAGCGGUAAUUGCAUCAUCACCUACAUAGUUGUGUUUGAGUUAAAAAAGUAGCAAGACAACCAAGACACACCAAAUAUCCAUCAAUGAUCCUCUCGUUGUAUAUAAAGCUACUAAUAAUUUCACCAACACAAAAAUGUAGGCGUUGGUGCCAUAUUAACAAUAAUUUAAUUACCUGAUAACCUUUUGGACAUAAGUAUAUCAUCAUUGUUGUUUGCAUGGAGGGAAUCAUUCCUAUACAACCAAUCAUCUGUUUCAUUAGGAUCCAUAUUUUCCUUGUUUGAUGCAGUCUGACCAUCUACCAAUUGACACAUCAUACAUAAAAAACAUCAAUAGUAAUAUCGGUAUUAUUAUUCACCAACAAUUCUAGUAUACAACCAUUGGUAGUUUCAUUACGUAGGUGUUGCUCCUUUCUUCUUUUGUAUGCUUCCCGACGUUUUUUAUUUUUUUCGUCCCUUUUCUCCUGAGACAUUGCAUGCCAUCGAGCCUUUUCUCUUUCUCUCUUGCGCUGUCCAGCAUCGCUUUCUACAGUGUUACAUUCAUAUACCAUUGAUUAUAAUUUGUAAUAAUAUUAUACAAUAUGUUAAAUUAAAUAUAGUAAAUGCCCAUGUAUUUUGUUUACCUCCAUUAGUAGUGUUAGUCUUGUCACCCAGUGGUGUAGGAGAGCCCCUAUUUUCCAUUGAAAUAACCAAGAAUUGCCACACAAUUCAGUGCUUCGGCGUGCUGAUCUGUACUUCAGUUCUGCAUGUUGGAAGAAACAAACAAACAAGGUUCGCUAUCUCACUGCUCUUUUCUCAUUCCAUUCUAAACUGAUAUUAUCCUACUUCUUUUCUCGUUCCAUUCUAAAUUCAGUCGCUAAUAACCACUGAUUAUUUAUUAUCUUUUUUAUCAUUCAUUUUUCUACUCCCAAAUCUCGUUAGCCAUUUCUAAACUCUGCAAGAAAAUUUUCUAAACACUUGACCACAAUGACAUAUAUAUGAACUUUGGAGCUUGUGGCACAUAUAAAAAAGAAAACUAUAAAAUUAUUUGUAGCCACUCUUAGCAUUCUUAGAGGCAUCACAUGUAUCUUGUAGUUGCAGUAGAGGUUGCAGAAAGGUUCCAAGGUUCAGUGUAGGGUCAGAGCUAACUAAAGCAAAUGAAAAACAAUUACGGCAGAAGCAAUUGGAAAACUGAAGGCUGAGUAAAAUAAUAAUAAAAAUCAUUAUCUGAAAGCUGAAUGGGCAAGCAACUAAAUUAGUGGCCUGAGCUAAAAUACUGUUACCAUUGAUAUCAAUAGGAAAAUAUUUUUAACGCAUUUUAAACAUCUGGAUAAUGAUAAUAUUCCGAUUUCAAUUUUAGCUUACACCUAAAUAUGAUAACCAUACAGGGUAGGCUGCAAUAUGAGAAGUCACAGGCAAUUCAACAAGCACCUAGAGAGCACCAUCACAUCACCAACCAAGUACGGGGGAGAAGCUAAAUCG
RNAcentral lists this long non-coding RNA (16207 nucleotides) under Sorghum bicolor (sorghum). RNAcentral describes it as "long non-coding RNA (SBIC_LNC005811)". Lineage: Eukaryota; Viridiplantae; Streptophyta; Magnoliopsida; Poales; Poaceae. The record is from RNAcentral.